RNAcentral lists this ribosomal RNA (475 nucleotides) under uncultured bacterium. RNAcentral's name for it is "bacterial SSU rRNA". It matches the Rfam family "Bacterial small subunit ribosomal RNA", at positions 28 to 507 of the family's 1533-position model. The record is from RNAcentral.
AAUGAACGUUGGCGGCGUGGAUUAGGCAUGCAAGUCGCGCGACAAGUUUUCCUGCUUGCAGGAGAAUGGAGGAGCGGCGUAAGGGAGAGUAACGCGUGGAUAUCUGCCCUGGGCUCCGGGAUAGCAGUGGGAAACUACUGGUAAUACCGGAUAAUGUCCCCGGACCAAAGGUGUGAUUCCGGCCUAGGAUGAGUCCGCGUCCUAUUAGCUUGUUGGUGGGGUAAAGGCCUACCAAGGCGAAGAUGGGUACCGGGUGUGAGAGCAUGGCCCGGCUCACUGGGACUGAGACACUGCCCAGACACCUACGGGUGGCUGCAGUCGAGAAUCUUCCGCAAUGGACGCAAGUCUGACGGAGCGACGCCGCGUGCGGGAUGAAGGCCUUCGGGUUGUAAACCGCUGUCAGUGGGGAGCAAAUGCAUCGGGGCUAUCCUCGAUGUUUGAGCAAUCCGCAGAGGAAGUACGGGCUAAGUUCGUG